Molecule: ribosomal RNA, 576 nt
Filed under: uncultured eukaryote
Lineage: Eukaryota
Description: SSU rRNA
Rfam family: Eukaryotic small subunit ribosomal RNA
Source: RNAcentral
UAUUUAUUAGAUAAAAAACCAACGCCCUUCGGGGCUCCUUGGUGAAUCAUAAUAACUUAACGAAUCGCAUGGCCUUGCACCGGCGAUGGUUCAUUCAAAUUUCUGCCCUAUCAACUUUCGAUGGUAGGAUAGUGGCCUACCAUGGUGGCAACGGGUAACGGGGAAUUAGGGUUCGAUUCCGGAGAGGGAGCCUGARAAACGGCUACCACAUCCAAGGAAGGCAGCAGGCGCGCAAAUUACCCAAUCCCGAUACGGGGAGGUAGUGACAAUAAAUACUGAUACGGGGCUCUUUUGGGUCUCGUAAUUGGAAUGAGAACAAUUUAAAUCCCUUAACGAGGAACAAUUGGAGGGCAAGUCUGGUGCCAGCAGCCGCGGUAAUUCCAGCUCCAAUAGCGUAUAUUAAAGUUGUUGCAGUUAAAAAGCUCGUAGUUGAACCUUGGGUCUGGCUGGCCGGUCCGCCUCACCGCGAGUACUGGUCCGGCUGGACCUUUCCUUCUGGGGAACCUCAUGGCCUUCACUGGCUGUGGGGGGAACCAGGACUUUUACUGUGAAAAAAUUAGAGUGUUCAAAGCAGGC